This 1086-nucleotide ribosomal RNA is filed under the name Triticum aestivum (bread wheat). RNAcentral describes it as "partial small subunit ribosomal RNA". The record is from RNAcentral. Lineage: Eukaryota; Viridiplantae; Streptophyta; Magnoliopsida; Poales; Poaceae.
AUGGCAGCGGGCCCCACGCCAUCCACAGCCGCGUCCUUCCGGCCGCCCCUGCCGCCUCCGCCGCCGUGCUUCGACUACCGGUCCGCGUCGCUCGCCGAUACGCGUGCCAGCGCCGCCACCGCGGACCCCGCGCUGGCUGGGUUGGUCGAGUCCGGUGCACUGGUACGCGUCCCGCGGCGGCGGUUCGGGCCGGUGCCGGCGUGGCGGCCGCCGGAUUUCGCUGAGCCCGAGGACGUGUGGAUCCUCGGGACCUCGCACCUCUCCGCGGAGUCUGCCGACGAGGUCGAGCGCGUGCUCCGUGCCGUCCACCCCGACAACGUCGUCGUCGAACUCUGCCGGAGCAGAGCCGGGAUCAUGUACGCUUCCGACGACGCCUCCGGCGAGCCGCUGUUGAAAUCCAACAUGUUUUCGCUCGGCGGCGCCAAGUUCUUGGGAGCCGUCAACCGGAGCAUCAACCUGGGUGGACAGAGUGCUCUUGCUCUGCGUUUGCUCCUGGCUGUUUUUUCUUCCAAGAUUUCUUCUGGCGCGAACCGGCCGUUUGGGGAGGAGUUCCGAGCAGCUAGGAGGGUGUCUGAAGAUAUUGGCGCUCAGCUCGUUCUUGGGGAUCGCCCUAUUGAAAUAACUCUUGAACGAGCUUUGAAAUCCCUCAGCUGGGAUGAAAAGACUAAACUCGUAAUCUCAUUAUUCCGUGGAAUCACUUCAACCACCGAUAUGCCGCAGGAUGAGAAAGCUGCGGUUAGCCCGUACGAGUUGUACGAGAAGCUUAGCAGCUCAUAUCCUUCGCUGCUGCAGCCUCUCAUACAUGAGCGCGACAUGUACAUGGCUUGGUCCCUAAAGAGGAGCAAGGCCGUGAACAAGAGCAAGACGGUGGUUGGGGUCAUCGGGAAGGGGCAUAUGAACGGCGUGGUGUACGCGCUGAUCUCUGACCAGGGGGACCUGAGGUUCCGCGACCUCGUCGGCAGGGAAUCGUCGGAGACCUGGGCUAGCUCCGUUGUCAAGGGCCUGGUCAGGGAUACGGUGAUAGGGCUCGUCCUCUGGGCUCUGUACGAACUGCUGCAGGCUGCCGCCCUACAUAUAACGUUGUAG